AAGACUAUACUUUCAGGGAUCAUUUCUACAGUUUGUUACUAGAUUUACUGCUUUAAAUGAGACAUUCUCAAAGUCAAUUGUGA
This 83-nucleotide small nucleolar RNA is filed under the name Catagonus wagneri (Chacoan peccary). RNAcentral's name for it is "Small nucleolar RNA U3 (ENSCWAG00000020055.1)". It matches the Rfam family "Small nucleolar RNA U3", at positions 1 to 82 of the family's 219-position model. From Rfam's summary of the family: Small nucleolar RNAs (snoRNAs) are involved in the processing and modification of rRNA in the nucleolus. There are two main classes of snoRNAs: the box C/D class, and the box H/ACA class. Lineage: Eukaryota; Metazoa; Chordata; Mammalia; Artiodactyla; Tayassuidae. The record is from RNAcentral.